Paramuricea clavata is the source of this 86-nucleotide non-coding RNA. NCBI's taxonomy places the organism in Eukaryota, Metazoa, Cnidaria, Anthozoa, Malacalcyonacea, Plexauridae. The record is from the annotation of a GenBank genome assembly.
CAAAUACUAGUCCAUUGCAUUGCAUUACAUAAUAGCAGAGCUAAUGCUCUGGUAUUAUGCAAUGCAAUGCAAUGGGCUAGUAUUUG